This 95-nucleotide transfer RNA is filed under the name Coniophora olivacea. RNAcentral's name for it is "tRNA-Leu". The record is from RNAcentral. Lineage: Eukaryota; Fungi; Basidiomycota; Agaricomycetes; Boletales; Coniophoraceae.
UCGAGUAUGCCGAAAUUGGUAGCCGGGUGAAUCUUAGGAAUUUAUGAUAACCUUUUUUAUGAAGGAUCGUGAGAGUUCAAGCCUCUCUACUCGUA